CCUACGGGGGACAGCAGUGGGGGAUAUUGCACAAUGGGGGGAACCCUGAUGCAGCGACGCCGCGUGGGUGAAGGAGUGCUUCGGCAUGUAAAGCCCUAUCGGCAGGGAAGAAGCAAGACGGUACCUGACUAAGAAGCCCCGGCUAACUACGUGCCAGCAGCCGCGGUAAUACGUAGGGGGCGAGCGUUAUCCGGAUUCACUGGGUGUAAAGGGAGCGUAGACGGCCAUGCAAGCCAGGGGGGAAAGCCCGGGGCCCAACCCCGGGACUGCCCUUGGAACUGUGCGGCUAGAGUGCGGGAGGGGCAGGCGGAAUUCCUGGUGUAGCGGUGAAAUGCGUAGAUAUCAGGAGGAACACCGGCGGCGAAGGCGGCCUGCUGGACCGCGACUGACGUUGAGGCUCGAAAGCGUGGGGAGCGAACAGGAUUAGAUACCCCUGUAGUC
Molecule: ribosomal RNA, 441 nt
Filed under: uncultured bacterium
Lineage: Bacteria
Description: partial 16S ribosomal RNA
Rfam family: Bacterial small subunit ribosomal RNA
Source: RNAcentral